RNAcentral lists this small RNA (349 nucleotides) under Carnobacterium maltaromaticum. RNAcentral's name for it is "cspA thermoregulator". Lineage: Bacteria; Bacillati; Bacillota; Bacilli; Lactobacillales; Carnobacteriaceae. The record is from RNAcentral.
AUAUUUAAGAAAUCCAUGUUAUAGUUAGUUUAUUGAUUUUUGUAUCGGAUUAUUUUGGUUUUUGUUGUUUUAUGAACUUCUUCCAAGUGCCAUUCAAGAACUAUAAAAAAUUUAGCAACAUCACAAGGAGGAAACAUAUUAUGACAAAAGGUAACGUAAAAUGGUUUAACGCAGAAAAAGGAUUCGGUUUUAUUGAAAGUGAAGACGGCGGAGACGUAUUCGUACACUUUUCAGCUAUCCAAGGAGACGGAUUCAAAUCUUUAGACGAAGGUCAAGCUGUUGAGUUUGAUACUGAAGAAGGCAACCGUGGACCACAAGCUGUAAACGUAACUAAAGCUUAAUUUUAAUU